This is a long non-coding RNA of Stegastes partitus (bicolor damselfish), 114 nucleotides long. RefSeq lists it as uncharacterized. The transcript has 3 exons. The record is from RefSeq and is a predicted model, not a curated record. Lineage: Eukaryota; Metazoa; Chordata; Actinopteri; Pomacentridae.
CGAGGCCUUCAGCUUAGGGUGCACAUAGCUCACCACGCUAAGCGGCCCCUUCCCGCACCGGGAACUAGUCCUGGCAUCGGAGGCCCCGGGUUCAUAUCCCGCUCGGGGCUCAUC